GGUCUAUUGGUGUAGUUGGUUAUCACGUCGUUCUUAUACUUGCAUUUGCGAUGCAAUCUAUGCGAAGGUCCUGAGUUCAAGCCUCAGAUAGACCA
Molecule: non-coding RNA, 95 nt
Organism: Podospora aff. communis PSN243
Lineage: Eukaryota; Fungi; Ascomycota; Sordariomycetes; Sordariales; Podosporaceae
Source: the annotation of a GenBank genome assembly